RNAcentral lists this ribosomal RNA (720 nucleotides) under Gordonia terrae. Its description in RNAcentral is "bacterial SSU rRNA". It matches the Rfam family "Bacterial small subunit ribosomal RNA", at positions 48 to 784 of the family's 1533-position model. Lineage: Bacteria; Bacillati; Actinomycetota; Actinomycetes; Mycobacteriales; Gordoniaceae. The record is from RNAcentral.
CUAACUGCAGUCGACGGAAGGCCCAGCUUGCUGGGUACUCGAGUGGCGAACGGGUGAGUAACACGUGGGUGAUCUGCCCUGCACUCUGGGAUAAGCCUGGGAAACUGGGUCUAAUACCGGAUAUGACCAACUGUCGCAUGGUGGUUGGUGGAAAGCUUUUGCGGUGUGGGAUGGGCCCGCGGCCUAUCAGCUUGUUGGUGGGGUAAUGGCCUACCAAGGCGACGACGGGUAGCCGACCUGAGAGGGUGAUCGGCCACACUGGGACUGAGACACGGCCCAGACUCCUACGGGAGGCAGCAGUGGGGAAUAUUGCACAAUGGGCGCAAGCCUGAUGCAGCGACGCCGCGUGAGGGAUGACGGCCUUCGGGUUGUAAACCUCUUUCACCAGGGACGAAGCGUGAGUGACGGUACCUGGAGAAGAAGCACCGGCCAACUACGUGCCAGCAGCCGCGGUAAUACGUAGGGUGCGAGCGUUGUCCGGAAUUACUGGGCGUAAAGAGCUCGUAGGCGGUUUGUCGCGUCGUCUGUGAAAUUCUGCAACUCAAUUGCAGGCGUGCAGGCGAUACGGGCAGACUUGAGUACUACAGGGGAGACUGGAAUUCCUGGUGUAGCGGUGAAAUGCGCAGAUAUCAGGAGGAACACCGGUGGCGAAGGCGGGUCUCUGGGUAGUAACUGACGCUGAGGACGAAAGCUGGGGGGCCCCCCCCAAAGAAGAAGAAA